Molecule: long non-coding RNA, 727 nt
Organism: Galendromus occidentalis (western predatory mite)
Lineage: Eukaryota; Metazoa; Arthropoda; Arachnida; Mesostigmata; Phytoseiidae
Product: putative esophageal gland cell secretory protein 6
Exons: 5
Source: RefSeq, a predicted model, not a curated record
AUGGCUCAGGAAGGCAAGGUUCUCAUGUGGGUCGCCCUCCUGGUCGUGGGAGCGAGCAUCGUGGAUCUCAUGAGAUCGCGCGAGGAUGAUUCACAGGAACAGACAACUACGGUUGGGAAAUCCAUCCCGAAAUUGAAAAUGGACCUCUCCGGAUACAAAGGUGCCUUUCAACAAUAUGCAGAAGUCCUUCAGCGUCGUUAUCCCGAUAUCAGGAUAGCAGGAGAUACUUUCACCCCACCAUUCCCGAGAAACCACAUCGCUCAUUCGUUGGGUUUGAUGAAAUUCCUAAUGAUCAUCCUAGUCGUCUCUGGCAUGAAUCCAUUCGACUGGUUCCAAAGGCCAACUCCCAGCAUGUAUGAUUGGUUACUCAACAACAAAAUGUCCGGCUGCCUCAUGCUAUUCUUCAUCUCUGGAAUGAUAGAAUCGCAGCUGAUAUCGACUGGAGCUUUCGAGAUUUACCUCAAUGGAGAACAACUCUGGUCAAAGAUAAGAACUGGGAGAGUUCCCGAACUUCCGGAACUCUUCAACAUGAUCGACGAACGAAGGAAUACGCUGUUUUCAGGCACCGAAAACCAUGACUUGAAGCAGAUGCUUUGAUGCAGCUCAAGAGCGGAAGCGUUAUGAAAGCAUAGUUCUAAACCGCGAGGCGAGCUAAGCUGGAUGGGACUUCCGAUAUGACAGCACAUUUUUUCCACCGGAAGGCUACAAUAAAGGAAAAUACGAAACU